RNAcentral lists this ribosomal RNA (234 nucleotides) under uncultured bacterium. RNAcentral describes it as "partial 16S ribosomal RNA". It matches the Rfam family "Bacterial small subunit ribosomal RNA", at positions 118 to 347 of the family's 1533-position model. The record is from RNAcentral.
UGAGGAACAUGACCUUCGGCGGGGGAUAGCCGGCCCAACGGCCGGGUAAUACCGCGUACGACCACUUUGGGACAUCCCUAGGUGGUGAAAGCAGCAAUGCGCCGAUGGAGUGUCUCGCGGCCUAUCAGCUAGUUGGUGAGGUAACGGCUCACCAAGGCGACGACGGGUAGCUGGUCUGAGAGGAUGGCCAGCCACAUUGGGACUGAGACACGGCCCAGACUCCUACGGGAGCAG